Molecule: ribosomal RNA, 466 nt
Filed under: uncultured bacterium
Lineage: Bacteria
Description: partial 16S ribosomal RNA
Rfam family: Bacterial small subunit ribosomal RNA
Source: RNAcentral
GAUGAACGCUGGCGGCGUGCUUAACACAUGCAAGUCGAACGGAAAGGCUCCUGCUUGCAGGGGUACUCGAGUGGCGAACGGGUGAGUAACACGUGGGUGAUCUGCCCUGCACUUCGGGAUAAGCCUGGGAAACUGGGUCUAAUACCGGAUAGGACGAUGGUUUGGAUGCCAUUGUGGAAAGUUUUUUCGGUGUGGGAUGAGCUCGCGGCCUAUCAGCUUGUUGGUGGGGUAAUGGCCUACCAAGGCGUCGACGGGUAGCCGGCCUGAGAGGGUGUACGGCCACAUUGGGACUGAGAUACGGCACAGACUCCUACGGGAGGCAGCAGUGGGGAAUAUUGCACAAUGGGCGCAAGCCUGAUGCAGCGACGCCGCGUGGGGGAUGACGGCCUUCGGGUUGUAAACUCCUUUCGCUAGGGACGAAGCGCAAGUGACGGUACCUGGAGAAGAAGCACCGGCUAACUACGUG